Long non-coding RNA from Lagenorhynchus albirostris (white-beaked dolphin), 1098 nucleotides. RefSeq lists it as uncharacterized. Lineage: Eukaryota; Metazoa; Chordata; Mammalia; Artiodactyla; Delphinidae. The record is from RefSeq and is a predicted model, not a curated record. The transcript is spliced from 4 exons.
AGCCGGUCGAAAGUGCGGGAAGCAGGCAUGGGGAGACAAGAUCGCUCUUCGCCCCUCGGCGACACUCUCUGUCCUGGCCCCGCGCGCAAAGGGCGCCCGGUGGGGCCGACUAGGUCGGCCCGCGACUCCCGGCCCCCAUCCAGGCCCGGCUCAGGCUCCCGGGACCCCCAGAGACCCGACUCCCGCCUCCGCCCCCCGCCGGACCCUCAGCCCAGGUCCAGCCCCGCCCACCUGGCUCUAGGCCGGUGCUUGCGCGGCGCGGCGCCAGGGGCCGGGCGGGCCCAUAGCGGCUCCGCGGCCGGGACCGGCUCCACUCCCGCUCGCUAGGCACCCAGGCCGACUCGGAAACUGGACGAGCCCGUCCCGCCCCUGGACGGCGCCGCGAGGCCCCGCCCCCCCACGGGCCGACCAGCCGACUGCCCGGAGUGAGGCCGGCCCGCCCACUCGCGGCCUCCUCUGGGUCCCGCGCUAACGCGGCCCCGCGCCGCGGGUGCCCCGCCGGGCCCGCGCGCCAAGGUCGCGAGUCUCCACGCCGCGCUUGACCUGGAGGCAGCACCGUACUUGACAGCGUAUUGUCGCCAACACCACCCCACCAGCAUCCCGGCCGAGCGCUGCUCCCGCAAACUUUCUAGACGAACGAGCCGCAUUUCUGUCCCGGGCCAGCCCCGCACCCGAGACCCGAUCAGCUGUCUCGCUUUUAAAACUUUCGUGCGGCGAAGUGUGUCCUAAGAGAAAAAGGAACACCGGCUGCGAGCCUGCGCCUUUAAGAAGGCUUGAAGAGAUGAUCUCAGUUCCCCAACCAGGGACUGAACCCGGGCCCUGGCAGUGAGAGUCCGGAUCCUAACCACUAGGUCACCAGGGAACUCCCAGGGAUUAAUUUUUAAUUGAAGGUGGGCCUCAUCUAAUCAGUUGAAGGCCUGAAUUGAACAAAAAGACUGGCCUCUCCAGGCAAGAGGAAAUUCUCUAGCAACGUCUUUGGACUUUCAUCCGCACCAUCGGCUCUCCUGAAUCUCCAGCCUGCAGGCUCACACUGCAGAUUUUGGACUUACUAGCUUCCAUAGUCAUGUGAGCCAAUCCUUUUUAAUAAAUCUUUUUCUG